This 210-nucleotide ribosomal RNA is filed under the name Staphylococcus argenteus. RNAcentral's name for it is "partial 23S ribosomal RNA". It matches the Rfam family "Bacterial large subunit ribosomal RNA", at positions 2715 to 2925 of the family's 2925-position model. The record is from RNAcentral. Lineage: Bacteria; Bacillati; Bacillota; Bacilli; Caryophanales; Staphylococcaceae.
UACCAGUUGUCGUGCCAACGGCAUAGCUGGGUAGCUAUGUGUGGACGGGAUAAGUGCUGAAAGCAUCUAAGCAUGAAGCCCCCCUCAAGAUGAGAUUUCCCAACUUCGGUUAUAAGAUCCCUCAAAGAUGAUGAGGUUAAUAGGUUCGAGGUGGAAGCAUGGUGACAUGUGGAGCUGACGAAUACUAAUCGAUCGAAGACUUAAUCAAAA